This 430-nucleotide long non-coding RNA is filed under the name Nicotiana benthamiana. Its description in RNAcentral is "long non-coding RNA (NBEN_LNC012570)". The record is from RNAcentral. Lineage: Eukaryota; Viridiplantae; Streptophyta; Magnoliopsida; Solanales; Solanaceae.
GGUGCUUCUUUCUUCUACUAGGCUCCUUCAAGCAAUGGUUGAUGUUAUUUCCAGUAAUGGGUGGCUUAGUCUAGCACUUCUAGCAAUGGAGGUGAGCCAAAUGGUGACACAGGGAAUGUGGGAACGUGACUCGAUGCUUCUCCAGCUUCCCCAUUUCACGAAGGAUUUGGCUAAGAAGUGCCAAGAAAAUUCAGGAAAGAGUGUAGAGACAGUUUUUGAUUUAGUGGAGCUGGAAGAUGACGAGCCUCCAGCUUCCUCACUUCACGAAGGAUUUGGCUAAGAAGUGCCAAGAAAAUCCAGGAAAGAGUGUAGAGACAGUUUUUGAUUUAGUGGAGCUGGAAGAUGAUGAGAGGCGUGAGCUCUUGCAAAUGUCUGACUUACAGCUUAUGGAUAUUGCCCGGUUCUGUAAUCGGUUUCCAAACAUCGAUCU